Molecule: transfer RNA, 68 nt
Filed under: Koreoleptoxis nodifila
Lineage: Eukaryota; Metazoa; Mollusca; Gastropoda; Pleuroceridae
Description: tRNA-Val
Source: RNAcentral
UAGGAUAUAGCAUAAUUAAAAUGUAUUUCAUUUACACUGAAAUGAUACUUAACACUAAGUUGUCCUAA